CAAAAUACGGAUGCUCACGGCCAUUUGUGGCCUCAAUUGCCACUAAUUCUGCAGCCCCUAACCCCCCACUCUUAUCUGUCUUCUUGUCUCGUCUCUUUCCCAGCCUCCACCCGAACUCUGAAACUCACUACUCAAACCUCAGAAUUCUUGAAUCAGAUGCCGUUCGCUUAAUUCAAUUUUUUUUUUCUUUUUUCUUUUUCUUGGGUUUCUACCGAACAAUUUCACGCCACAAAAGGUUAACGAAAUUUCCCGCCAUUUUCAAGAAUUUUGAAUUUUCAUCAUUUGACAGGAAGAAGGUGGAGAAUUCCGUUAAUAUGGAGAGGUUUGCUCAAACGCAGUCGAAGGACCGGGAAAUUGAUUUUCAAGAUGUAUUCGGCGGUCCGCCGAGGCGGGCUUCGAUGCAGGAGAGGCGUUACAGUUUCAUGGAGACCAUGAAUUCUGGCGAAGACGUCACGCUUUUACCUCGGAAUCCGUUGUCCGGCCUGAACGAGAGCCCGGUGUUUGGCGACGAAUCCGCGAAUCGCCGGCGGUACCCAAGCGAUGACUUCUUCGGCGAUAUUUUCAGGGGAGAUGAGUCUCUGAGUUCGCCAAGGUGGUCUACGCAAGACCCCUUUGGUUCGGCCCCAUGUUCAAGGGUCUUAAGCCCUGCCCGCCCUUUGACGCCAAGAACUGAUCCUUUUGGAACCUCUCUUCCUUCUCAACUUCAGUUCAGCCUUCCUGCAAAAUUGACCAAGGCAAAGGACUUUCCUGCAUUUGCUUCAGGCAAUCACAGUCCAUAUAAAUACAAGGAUCCCACUUCAAUUGGGAUGAGCUGUUCAUAUACUCCAAGCUCUCCUCUCUCUAGACUUUCAAGUGAAGCUUUGCAUGAAGAAGGCGAGUCAGGAAAUGACAUUCGGCCAUCUUAUCAACCAAGUCCUCUGUCCCAUGAAUCUUCUCUCCCUAAGGGCCCAUCGCACACGACCAAAGCUGGUGAAUUGGAGUCAUCAGAUAUUGGAGGCAACUUGAAGAAGGAUUUGAAAAGCAUAGAAUCUCCAAUCAACAUCAGCCAGUUUCACUUCUCCAUAUACAAAUGGGCUAGCAAAGGGGUACCACUAUUAAUUCCUGUUAGAAGUGGCAACAUUAUAAAACAAAAAGAGAGGAUUAAAACUGAGAGAUGCUUGAGCUCAAAUGGAAGGAUUGAAAGUAACAAAGGGUUACAGGUGGCAGAUUUCCAUGAUUCUGGUCUUGAUCUUCUGAACCAGAGUGAUUCAGAAAACCGCCAGUCUCCUUGCAGUGAAGGCAGGAAGCAGCAGGGUUCACUUUUUAAAACAACUGAUGAGAACAUGGAUGAACCUUGUGAUACUGUUGAAGAAGCAGUUCUUUCCAUCCCAGGAUCAAAAUCCAUGCACAUAGUUCCAGAUACCAUUGAAACUGUACCUAGUGAUGUAGCCUUGAGUGACAAAAGAGUGGAAAUAAAAACACAUCCUUUAUCUGAUGCAAAUUUAUGUGGGAGUACUGAGAAAGAAGCCCAGAAACAUGAGAUGAAGCCUCUGCGGUCUUUUCUCUAUGAUACUAAUAAGGCUCAAGGCAUUAAUGAAACAAUUAGGAACCCUGAAAUGAAAGAUAGCAUGGUGAAAAAGAUGAGAAAAUCUGAUUCAAAUGCCAAUGUGAGUAAACAUGUAAAGGAAUGUGAUGAUAAAGGAAUUAAUAAAGAUAGAGCAGAAGCAGUUCAAGUGAAGGGACCUCAGCCUCAAGAUUCAAGAAGAAAAUCUGGAGAAAAUCUUGGGAGGAAUGGAGUUAGAGGAAAGGUUAAAGAAUUUGUUAAGAUUUUCAAUCAACAAAAUAUUUCAAAGCCUAAUGUUGAUGCUGAAACUCGGAGUCAGAGUUGUCGAUGGAAAAGCACAGUCAAGUUUGGAGCAGAAAGUGUUAACAGAAGCCAAACAAAUGGAAAAAGUCAUAAUCAAAGUGUGAACAAGAUGAAAGGACCACCAAAUGCUUCUGUCAAGGUAGUGGAAAAUAUUGGGGAAUCACUGAAACAGCAGCCCUUCUCAAAGACCACAGUCUUUGAAGUUAGUAAAACUUCUACUGGUCAUGUCUCACCAUCAAGUUCCGUGUCAUUUCCUGGUGAUACUAAGGUUGCAGUUGAAAGCAUAGAUGACUUCUUCCAAGAGAACUUUGCGAUACACGAAUUAUCUAAUGACCAAGACAAAUUGCAGGCAGAGGACAGUCGUGAGGAUAUCCAAAUGUUAGAUGCUAAAAUUCGGCAAUGGUCAAACGGAAGGGCAGGCAAUAUUCGCUCACUUUUGUCAACAUUACAAUAUUCAUGGGCAGGUUCUCUGGCCUGGAAGUGGUUGGAAGACUGUGGCACUUGUUGAUAUUAUCGAAGGAAGUUCAGUGAAGAGAUCAUACCAAAAAGCUUUACUGUGUUUACACCCAGAUAAGCUACAGCAAAAGGGGGCUGCUUCUCACCAAAAAUAUAUUGCAGAAAAAGUAUUUGAAAUUUUGCAGGAGGCUUGGGAUCAUUUUAAUUCACUUGGUUCCAUAUGACUUCAGCGGCCUGGUUGCAAAGUGCCGCCUUUGGAGGAACAUGUGGUCUUGCGUUGCUGUUGCUGUUAUUGGCAAGUAAACACGUAAAUACCAUUUAGAUGCUGCACAUAUACAUAAUUACAUCAACAGGCCUUUUACACACAUCAUUUGUGCAUAUAUAUAAAGACAAAGUGAGUGAUGAAAACACUUCCAUAUCAAACUUAGAUUGCUCUUUGGCCUCGAUAAACUGUUGUUGUUCCUAGCAAAACAAUAUGAAGAAAGAAAUAUUGUUGUAGUUACUCUGAA
Diospyros lotus (date-plum) is the source of this 2811-nucleotide RNA transcript. It is a transcript of the gene named J domain-containing protein required for chloroplast accumulation response 1, with no coding region annotated. The transcript has 9 exons. The record is from RefSeq and is a predicted model, not a curated record. NCBI's taxonomy places the organism in Eukaryota, Viridiplantae, Streptophyta, Magnoliopsida, Ericales, Ebenaceae.